RNAcentral lists this ribosomal RNA (778 nucleotides) under uncultured bacterium. RNAcentral's name for it is "bacterial SSU rRNA". It matches the Rfam family "Bacterial small subunit ribosomal RNA", at positions 47 to 818 of the family's 1533-position model. The record is from RNAcentral.
CUUAACACAUGCAAGUCGAGGGGUAACAGUUCCAAGCAAUUGGAAGCUGACGACCGGCGCACGGGUGCGUAACGCGUAUGCAACCUACCUUUAACUGGGGGAUAGCCCGAAGAAAUUCGGAUUAAUACCCCAUAAUAUUCAAGAUGGGCAUCCAUUUUGAAUUAAAGCUUCGGCGGUUAUUGAUGGACAUGCGUGGCAUUAGUUAGUUGGUGAGGUAACGGCUCACCAAGACAACGAUGCCUAGGGGUUCUGAGAGGAUAACCCCCCACACUGGUACUGAGACACGGACCAGACUCCUACGGGAGGCAGCAGUGAGGAAUAUUGGUCAAUGGACGCAAGUCUGAACCAGCCAUGCCGCGUGCAGGAAGACGGCCCUAUGGGUUGUAAACUGCUUUUAUACGGGAAGAAACUUCCGAACGUGUUCGGAAUUGACGGUACCGUACGAAUAAGCACCGGCUAACUCCGUGCCAGCAGCCGCGGUAAUACGGAGGGUGCAAGCGUUAUCCGGAUUUAUUGGGUUUAAAGGGUGCGCAGGCGGAUCAGUAAGUCAGUGGUGAAAUCCCCCGGCUCAACCGGGGAACUGCCAUUGAAACUGCUGAUCUAGAGUACAGUUGAAGUAGGCGGAAUGUAGCAUGUAGCGGUGAAAUGCAUAGAGAUGCUACAGAACACCGAUUGCGAAGGCAGCUUACUAAGCUGUAACUGACGCUCAGGCACGAAAGCGUGGGGAGCAAACAGGAUUAGAUACCCUGGUAGUCCACGCCGUAAACUAUGAUCACUC